UACGUAGGUGGCAAGCGUUGUCCGGAUUUACUGGGCGUAAAGGGAGUGUAGGCGGAUACUUAAGUCAGAUGUGAAAUACCCGGGCUCAACUUGGGUGCUGCAUUUGAAACUGGGUGUCUAGAGUGCAGGAGAGGAAAGUGGAAUUCCUAGUGUAGCGGUGAAAUGCGUAGAGAUUAGGAAGAACACCAGUGGCGAAGGCGACUUUCUGGACAAUAACUGACGCUGAGGCUCGAAAGCGUGGGGAGCAAACAGGAUUAGAUACCCUGGUAGUCCACGCCGUAAACGAUGGGUACUAGGUGUAGGGGGCAUCGACUCCCCCUGUGCCGCCGUAAACACAAUAAGUACCCCGCCUGGGGAGUACGGUCGCAAGAUUAAA
Molecule: ribosomal RNA, 376 nt
Filed under: uncultured bacterium
Lineage: Bacteria
Description: bacterial SSU rRNA
Rfam family: Bacterial small subunit ribosomal RNA
Source: RNAcentral